This 259-nucleotide ribosomal RNA is filed under the name uncultured Bacteroides sp. RNAcentral describes it as "partial 16S ribosomal RNA". It matches the Rfam family "Bacterial small subunit ribosomal RNA", at positions 22 to 272 of the family's 1533-position model. Lineage: Bacteria; Pseudomonadati; Bacteroidota; Bacteroidia; Bacteroidales; Bacteroidaceae. The record is from RNAcentral.
GCUCAGGAUGAACGCUAGCUACAGGCUUAACACAUGCAAGUCGAGGGGCAGCGGGAUUGAAGCUUGCUUCAAUUGCCGGCGACCGGCGCACGGGUGAGUAACGCGUAUCCAACCUUCCGUACACUCAGGGAUAGCCUUUCGAAAGAAAGAUUAAUACCUGAUGGUAUGAUGAGAUUGCAUGAUAGCAUCAUUAAAGAUUCAUCGGUGUACGAUGGGGAUGCGUUCCAUUAGGUAGUAGGCGGGGUAACGGCCCACCUAG